AAGAUAAGAGUAUCACUUUGUUGAAGAAGAAAAAAAUGUUGGGAUUUGGAGACAUGAAACCAAGACUGAAUUCUUACCAUGAAUAAUUCCUAGGAAAGGGACAAGAUUAAAUAAUAAGAAAGGGAGAGGAACGGGAACACAGUGAAAAAAGUUACUACCAUGAUUUCCAGUAUACAGAUGGUGCUCUAUAUCUAUCAGGCAAAUGCAUGGAAGAAAG
Long non-coding RNA from Sarcophilus harrisii (Tasmanian devil), 217 nucleotides. RefSeq lists it as uncharacterized. The transcript is spliced from 3 exons. NCBI's taxonomy places the organism in Eukaryota, Metazoa, Chordata, Mammalia, Dasyuromorphia, Dasyuridae. The record is from RefSeq and is a predicted model, not a curated record.